CGUUCUUUGUUGGUCCCAUUAUUAGCUACUAUUUUUUCUUAAGUUUUUCUUAAGUUUGUUUUAUUCUUUAUGUUUAUUUUUAACCAAAAUGUCUAUUGCUUUGCUUUUUGUUUAUUAUGAAAAAACUCUAUAUUCUUAACUUCUACUUACAGGUAUCAUAGAUAAAUAAUACUACUAAUACUAAUAAUAAUAAUGGAUUCAGAUGAGACGAUGGACAUUGAAAGAUUACUUUUAAAUUCUCAAGAGCCUAAAGAAAACAGUAUACAAGAGAACGUAUUAGCUAACAAAGAUAACCAGAAGAGUGAGGAGAGUGAGAAGGAUGG
Molecule: long non-coding RNA, 323 nt
Organism: Hydractinia symbiolongicarpus
Lineage: Eukaryota; Metazoa; Cnidaria; Hydrozoa; Anthoathecata; Hydractiniidae
Exons: 3
Source: RefSeq, a predicted model, not a curated record